Struthio camelus australis is the source of this 623-nucleotide non-coding RNA. Lineage: Eukaryota; Metazoa; Chordata; Aves; Struthioniformes; Struthionidae. The record is from RefSeq and is a predicted model, not a curated record.
GAGGCUGCCCAUCCCGAGCAACCGUUGCAUAAAGGUGUCGGUGGAGCCCAGAGGAAGCGGUGGGAAGCCUGACCGAGGCUCUGAGGGACGCUGAGACAGGUGCCCUCCUGUCCUCGCCGCCCGCAGGCUGCCCAGUCCGUCCCGCAGCCUGCACCAGAGGGACCUUCCCCGCUGGACCUUGGUGCCAGGCUCACCAUGGCCACGGCGAACGACAGAGCCGUCCUACAGACCAUUUUUAACCCCAGCACGCCUUUUGGGGAUAUCCCUGGGCUGGAUGAGGAAGAGGAAGCCCAGGAGGAAGGAGUCCCGGGCCCCAAGGUUCCCAUGUGCUGCUGAUGGAGGGUGCCCAGGUUGGGGCCAAAGCGAAGAGAGGGCAGAGCGUGUGGCCGCUCAAGGAUGCACCGGGGCUCGCCAGCCCCUUCCCUCGUGGUGGGAUCCUCGUCUGCUCCAAAGCUGGUGCUGAGCCCCACGUGCGUCUGUCAGCAGGCGUGAGUGGAGCUGAGAUGUCCUUGCCCUGGGGCAGGAGGCCUGAGGGGCUGGGCACGAGGGUGCUGGUUGGCUGUGGGCUGCAACCGGCCGGGAUCUCCCCGAGCCCCUGGCAGAGCACAGAGCGGGACUGGCCG